Molecule: ribosomal RNA, 491 nt
Filed under: uncultured bacterium
Lineage: Bacteria
Description: partial 16S ribosomal RNA
Rfam family: Bacterial small subunit ribosomal RNA
Source: RNAcentral
GUGAACGCUGGCGGUAGGCCUAACACCUGCAAGUCGAACGGCAGCACAGUAAGAGCUUGCUCUUACGGGUGGCGAGUGGCGGACGGGUGAGGAAUACAUCGGAAUCUACUUUUUCGUGGGGGAUAACGUAGGGAAACUUACGCUAAUACCGCAUACGACCUACGGGUGAAGGCAGGGGAUCUUCGGACCUUGCGCGAUUGAAUGAGCCGAUGUCGGAUUAGCUAGUUGGCGGGGUAAAGGCCCACCAAGGCGACGAUCCGUAGCUGGUCUGAGAGGAUGAUCAGCCACACUGGAACUGAGACACGGUCCAGACUCCUACGGGAGGCAGCAGUGGGGAAUAUUGGACAAUGGGCGCAAGCCUGAUCCAGCCAUACCGCGUGGGUGAAGAAGGCCUUCGGGUUGUAAAGCCCUUUUGUUGGGAAAGAAAAGCAGCAGGUUAAUACCCCGCUGUUCUGACGGUACCCAAAGAAUAAGCACCGGCUAACUUCGUG